GGGCGUGGCGGCCGCGGGAAUUCGAUUCAGGCCUAACACAUGCAAGUCGAACGAUGAAGCUGGAGCUUGCUCCGGUGGAUUAGUGGCGAACGGGUGAGUAACACGUGAGCAAUCUGCCCUUCACUCUGGGAUAACUGCGGGAAACUGUAGCUAAUACCGGAUACGAGACCUUGGGGCAUCCCAGGGUCUGGAAAGAAUUUCGGUGAAGGAUGAGCUCGCGGCCUAUCAGCUAGUUGGUGAGGUAAUGGCUCACCAAGGCGACGACGGGUAGCCGGCCUGAGAGGGGGGCCGGCCACACUGGGACUGAGACACGGCCCAGACUCCUACGGGAGGCAGCAGUGGGGAAUAUUGCACAAUAAGGGAAAGCCUGAUGCAGCAA
Molecule: ribosomal RNA, 379 nt
Filed under: uncultured bacterium
Lineage: Bacteria
Description: bacterial SSU rRNA
Rfam family: Bacterial small subunit ribosomal RNA
Source: RNAcentral